Molecule: long non-coding RNA, 667 nt
Organism: Engraulis encrasicolus (European anchovy)
Lineage: Eukaryota; Metazoa; Chordata; Actinopteri; Clupeiformes; Engraulidae
Exons: 5
Source: RefSeq, a predicted model, not a curated record
CAAAAUCGGUGGUGCAGGAGGGCGGAGCUACAGAUACUUUAUGGUUCUUUCCCGGCAAGUUGGAAUAUUACCAGAAAACAUUUUGUUCGGCUGGGGGGGCUUUUUUUUAAACCUAGGGCCCAGGCAAAGAUGACAGCGGCCCUGCCCUACGGAGACGGUUGACACGCAUGCUCAUUUAGGUGAGACCGACUUCAUCCUGGGAAUCUUUUCGGCGGGACAGUACAGUAGUCUAGUAACGAACCUGGACUCGAUCUACUACUGAACUAGGAUAUUGUGCUGUGUAAAUAAUUUGCAUUGAGGAGAGUCCAUCAGCUCACUAACACGGGUGAGGGACAGGGACCAAAGAGGAGGCUCUACAACAUGAGGAAAGACGGCGAUCCUCAAGCAGUCAGUCCAUGAGCCCACGUCUUCAGGCCAGGGGCCCGAGAGGAAUUUCCAGUGACAUGGAUCAACAGAGAUCCUCAAACAGUCAGUCCAUGUGCCACGUUCCAGCCAGGGACCAAAAGGGGGGCUUUCGUCAUGGGGCCAGACAGACAUCCUCAAGCAAAAUAGAGAGAUGCAUCCAGGCCACCCACUAGGAGGUGGAAAAUCGUACGAAGAGGUGGCUGUACCUGGCAGCAGACUGAGAUGGGGUGAGGAAGAGAAGCACAGACCAAGAACGGAAUGU